RNAcentral lists this ribosomal RNA (205 nucleotides) under uncultured bacterium. Its description in RNAcentral is "partial 16S ribosomal RNA". It matches the Rfam family "Bacterial small subunit ribosomal RNA", at positions 568 to 774 of the family's 1533-position model. The record is from RNAcentral.
UGCGUAGGCGGGUCUUUAAGUCAGGGGUGAAAUCCUGGAGCUCAACUCCAGAACUGCCUUUGAUACUGAAGAUCUUGAGUUCGGGAGAGGUGAGUGGAACUGCGAGUGUAGAGGUGAAAUUCGUAGAUAUUCGCAAGAACACCAGUGGCGAAGGCGGCUCACUGGCCCGAUACUGACGCUGAGGACAAAGACUGGGGAGCAAACA